CAGCCUCAGCGCGCUCAACCCAACGCCUCUGCUUGGGCCUCAGGCACCUAGGGUGUGUCCUUGGUUCAGGGACACCAUGGACAGCUGGAAAGUCAAGGAAUCCUGUUUCAGUGGCUCCUUUCCCUCAGUUACCGGGCAAGCCGCACUUCACUCAGUUGGGCUGUUCAGGUGCAGGUGCCAGAUUCAUAACGGCCUGAGAGUCCCUAAGUGCCUUCAGGUACCAUUCAUCUUGAGGCUGGAGAAGACAUACCUCGCUCAUCCAGAAGAAUAUUCUCCAUCUGAAAUGAUGGGCAAGAGGACAUUAUCUCACUCUUUUCAUUGAUUCUGAUUUGGCUUUUCCAUUGUUAUUUUUUUUAAUACAGGGUCUCAUUAUGUAUCCCGGGCUAGCUGGGAAUUUGGUAUAUAUACCAGGCUAGCCUCAAAACUUGCAGCAUUCCUCCUGUCCCCCACUCCCAACGGUGCUGGGGUAUAGGCAAGUAUGACCACAUCUGGCUUUCUUUCAUGUAAAGUUGCUAGUUGGAGAAGGUAGUCCACCCAGCAUUCAAACCUAUACUUGGAGGACCCAUACCUAAAUCCUUUGAAUCCCAAAUAAACUGUCUCUGCUCCCCACUGCCUUCUCAAA
Non-coding RNA from Cricetulus griseus (Chinese hamster), 622 nucleotides. Lineage: Eukaryota; Metazoa; Chordata; Mammalia; Rodentia; Cricetidae. The record is from RefSeq and is a predicted model, not a curated record.